GAGGGAUAUGAGGAUAGUUGAGUCAAUCAAGAAGUCCCCAUUCAGAGCAACGCCGCAACGUUCUUUGCCCAAAACCCUGUUCAACCAGAUCCAUCAUAAUAGAAUGAUGAAGGUCCAAGCUGCCCAGAAUGCCUGCUUUGCCAAUGUCAGAUUCAGGUCCACACCUAUGUCUCCCUUAUUGUUACCUUCCAUAUAUUUUUGUUUGUAUUGAAUCUUUUUCAUUUUUGUUUUGUACUUUGUUUGAGUCUGUUGGUGGCCCUAUGUGCCCUAACAUUUUGCCUAAGGCAAAAGUGUAUAAGUGGGAA
Molecule: long non-coding RNA, 305 nt
Filed under: Salvia miltiorrhiza (redroot sage)
Lineage: Eukaryota; Viridiplantae; Streptophyta; Magnoliopsida; Lamiales; Lamiaceae
Description: long non-coding RNA (SMIL_LNC002799)
Source: RNAcentral